AAUUUUUUCAAAUUUCAUUAGUUUCUGCUUCUAGCUAGUGACUGAAUGUUAUUUGGAUUGUGGAUAGUGCAGGUUUUCUAAGAAGUCUGCUUGUCUGAAAUAUAUUAGCAAAAAGUUUUUUGACUAAUUGUCAUUGGUAUGAUAAUUAUUUAUGCUGUUUGAUAAUUGUCAGUUUUUGCUCUGUUAGAGUGUGUUGUUAUAUUUUGCUUCUAAUGGGUUCAUUAACUUGAACGACAAGUUUAAUU
This 245-nucleotide unclassified non-coding RNA is filed under the name uncultured Basidiomycota. Its description in RNAcentral is "sequence contains ITS2". Lineage: Eukaryota; Fungi; Basidiomycota. The record is from RNAcentral.